UCCUCGAUGGUCUAACGGUCAUGAUUUCCGCUUGUCACCUGCCCAGGAACAAGCGCGGGAGACCUGGGUUCGACUCCCAGUCGGGGAG
RNAcentral lists this transfer RNA (88 nucleotides) under Aspergillus egyptiacus. RNAcentral describes it as "tRNA-Asp". It matches the Rfam family "tRNA". From Rfam's summary of the family: Transfer RNA (tRNA) molecules are approximately 80 nucleotides in length. Their secondary structure includes four short double-helical elements and three loops (D, anti-codon, and T loops). Lineage: Eukaryota; Fungi; Ascomycota; Eurotiomycetes; Eurotiales; Aspergillaceae. The record is from RNAcentral.